AUUGAACGCUGGCGGCAGGCUUAACACAUGCAAGUCGAGCGGGGGAAGGUAGCUUGCUACCGGACCUAGCGGCGGCCGGUUGAGUAACGCUUAGGAAUCUGCCUAUUAGUGGGGGACAACAUCUCGAAAGGUAUGCUAAUACCGCAUACGUCCUACGGGAGAAACCAGGGGAUCUUCGGACCUUGCGCUACUAGAUGAGCCUAAGUCGGAUUAGCUAGUUGGUGGGGUAAAGGCCUACCAAGGCGACGAUCUGUAGCGGGUCUGAGGGGAUGAUCCGCCACACUGGGACCGAGACACGGCCCAGACUCCUACGGGAGGCAGCAGUGGGGAAUAUUGGACAAUGGGGGGAACCCUGAUCCAGCCAUGCCGCGUGUGUGAAGAAGGCCUUAUGGUUGUAAAGCACUUUAAGCGAGGAGGAGGCUACUUUAGUUAAUACCUAGAGAUAGUGGACGUUACUCGCAGAAUAAGCACCGGCUAACUCUGUGCCAGCAGCCGCAGUAA
RNAcentral lists this ribosomal RNA (501 nucleotides) under uncultured bacterium. RNAcentral's name for it is "partial 16S ribosomal RNA". It matches the Rfam family "Bacterial small subunit ribosomal RNA", at positions 30 to 523 of the family's 1533-position model. The record is from RNAcentral.